This 253-nucleotide ribosomal RNA is filed under the name uncultured bacterium. RNAcentral describes it as "partial 16S ribosomal RNA". It matches the Rfam family "Bacterial small subunit ribosomal RNA", at positions 524 to 776 of the family's 1533-position model. The record is from RNAcentral.
UACGUAAGGUGCGAACGUUGUUCGGAAUCACUGGGCAUAAAGAGCACGUAGGCGGCUGGAUAAGUCCGAUGUGAAAUCCCCCGGCUCAACCGAGGAAUUGCAUCGGAUACUGUCUGGCUAGAGUGCAGUAGGGGAGAGCGGAAUUCCAGGUGGAGCGGUGAAAUGCGUAGAUAUCUGGAGGAACACCGGUGGCGAAAGCGGCUCUCUGGACUGUAACUGACGCUGAGGUGCGAAAGCCAGGGGAGCAAACGGG